UUGCUUGCUUCAGCAGCACAUGUACUAAAAUUGGACCGAUACAGAGAAGAUUAGCAUGGCCCCCCACACAAAGGUGACUCGCAAAUUCAUGAAGCGGUCCAUAUUUUU
This is a small nuclear RNA of Jaculus jaculus (lesser Egyptian jerboa), 108 nucleotides long. NCBI's taxonomy places the organism in Eukaryota, Metazoa, Chordata, Mammalia, Rodentia, Dipodidae. The record is from Ensembl.